Molecule: unclassified non-coding RNA, 312 nt
Organism: Mesocricetus auratus (golden hamster)
Lineage: Eukaryota; Metazoa; Chordata; Mammalia; Rodentia; Cricetidae
Gene: 7SK
Rfam family: 7SK RNA
About the family: 7SK was discovered as an abundant small nuclear RNA in the mid-70s but a possible function has only recently been suggested. Two independent studies have found that 7SK RNA binds the CDK9/cyclin T complex (known as elongation factor P-TEFb).
Source: Ensembl
AGAUGUGAGUGCAAUCUUGCUGUGACAUCUGUCACCCCAUUGAUUGCCAUGGUUGAUUCUGCUGAUCUGGCCAGCUACGCAGGUGUCACCUUCCUCCCUCACCACUCCAUGUGUGUUCCUCCUGAAACUGUGCACUUGCUUGAAGAGGAUGACCUUUCCCAAAUAGAGGAGGUCUAGUCUUCGAUCAAGGGUAUACAAGUAGCUGCUCUUCCCUGCUGGAAUUUCCAACAAGCUCUCAAGAACAGAAAAUAAUUCUUGGGGAGAAUAUAGUUGGCAUAUAUAUGAACUUUUGCUAUUAUUUUACUGUGAAGU